CUUCGGAUGCUGACGAGUGGCGAACGGGUGAGUAAUACAUCGGAACGUGCCCGAGAGUGGGGGAUAACGAAGCGAAAGCUUUGCUAAUACCGCAUACGAUCUCAGGAUGAAAGCAGGGGACCGCAAGGCCUUGCGCUCACGGAGCGGCCGAUGGCAGAUUAGGUAGUUGGUGGGAUAAAAGCUUACCAAGCCGACGAUCUGUAGCUGGUCUGAGAGGACGACCAGCCACACUGGGACUGAGACACGGCCCAGACUCCUACGGGAGGCAGCAGUGGGGAAUUUUGGACAAUGGGCGCAAGCCUGAUCCAGCCAUGCCGCGUGCAGGAUGAAGGCCUUCGGGUUGUAAACUGCUUUUGUACGGAACGAAAAGACUCUGGUUAAUACCUGGGGUCCAUGACGGUACCGUAAGAAUAAGCACCGGCUAACUACGUGCCAGCAGCCGCGGUAAUACGUAGGGUGCGAGCGUUAAUCGGAAUUACUGGGCGUAAAGCGUGCGCAGGCGGUUAUGUAAGACAGAUGUGAAAUCCCCGGGCUCAACC
RNAcentral lists this ribosomal RNA (539 nucleotides) under uncultured beta proteobacterium. RNAcentral describes it as "bacterial SSU rRNA". It matches the Rfam family "Bacterial small subunit ribosomal RNA", at positions 78 to 614 of the family's 1533-position model. Lineage: Bacteria; Pseudomonadati; Pseudomonadota; Betaproteobacteria. The record is from RNAcentral.